Molecule: small RNA, 3286 nt
Filed under: Pongo abelii (Sumatran orangutan)
Lineage: Eukaryota; Metazoa; Chordata; Mammalia; Primates; Hominidae
Description: retained intron
Source: RNAcentral
CCAAAAAGUUACAUUGGGCUGGGUGCGCUGGUGCAGCCUGUAAUCCCAGCACUUUGGGAGGCCGAGGCGGGCGGAUCUCUUGAGCCCAGACCAAUAUAGUGAGUUUGGCCAACAUAGUGAGACCCCUGUCUCUACAAAAAAUAGAAAAAAUUAGCCAGUUGCGGUAGUGAACGCCUAUAGUCCCAGCUACUUGGGACGCUGAGGCAGGAGGAUCAUUUGAACCCUGGAGGAGGAGGCUGCAGUGAGGUAUUUCCUCAUCCCUGCUAUAACGAAUUUGUCACAGGCUGUUUUAUAGGCCUGGAGCUCAGAAGCCCCAAAGUGAGUUUUAAGAGGUUAAAAUCAAGGUGUUGGCAAGGGUAGUUCCUUCUGGAGGUUCCCAAGGAGAAUCUGCUUCUUUUCUUCUUCCAACUUGUAGAGGCCACCUUCUUCCAUCUUCAAAACCUGCUGUGUCUGCAUAAGAACUCUCAUGAUUAUAUGCCGGCUGCCCAGACACCCCAGGAUAGCCUUCACAUCUCAAUAUUGUUAAUAUUUGCAAAGUCCCUUUUGCCACGUAAGGUAACACCACAGGUUUGGAGAUUAGGAGGUGGACAUCUUUCAGGGCCGUUCUUAUUUUUAAAAAUGUACUGUCGAUAAGAAUAGUUAAAAUGUAAAAUAUUUGAAAGGAUUUAUUCUGAACCGAAUAUGAGUGACCGCAGCCGGUGACACUGCCCUCAGGGGAUCCUGAGAACAUGUGCCCAAGGUGGUUGGGGCAGCUUGGUUUUACACGUUUUACAGAGACAUGAGGCAUUAAUGAAAUACAUUUAAGAUAUACAUUGGUUUGGUCCAGAAAGGCGGGACCAAACAAACAAAAAAAAGAUUUUUGAACAUGCUUUCCGAGCUCAGGCAUGAAGAACUCUUGACUGAUAGAGGGUGUGUCCAAAGUUUUCAGGACGGCCCAGCGGCGCUCCAAAACCCUCCUCACAGCCUCGCCCCUUUCGCCUCAGCCACAACAGAUCAUCGUCAACCUGUUCCACCUUCUCCAGUCUGGUAGCAAAAAGGGGUGUCUCAGGCCACUCUUCACCUCCACCAUGAGCCUGGACAUCCAGAGCCUGGACAUCCAGUGUGAGGAGCUGAGCGAUGCUAGAUGGGCCGAGCUCCUCCCUCUGCUCCAGCAGUGCCAAGUGGUCAGGCUGGACGACUGUGGCCUCACAGAAGCACGGUGCAAGGACAUCAGCUCUGCACUUCGAGUCAACCCUGCACUGGCAGAGCUCAACCUGCGCAGCAACGAGCUGGGUGAUGCCGGCGUGCACUGCGUGCUCCAGGGCCUGCAGAGCCCCUCCUGCAAGAUCCAGAAGCUGAGCCUCCAGAACUGCUGCCUGACGGGGGCCGGCUGCGGGGUCCUGUCCAGCACACUACGCUCCUUGCCCACCCUGCAGGAGCUGCACCUCAGCGACAACCUCUUGGGGGACGUGGGCCUGCAGCUGCUCUGCGAGGGACUCCUGGACCCCCAGUGCCGCCUGGAAAAGCUGCAGUGAGUUUGCGUCCUGCCCCAGGGCCCGUGCUGCCCACUGCCUGUUCCUCAGCCAGCCCCCUACAUAGAACACAAGGUCACAAUGGCCUUGUGGUGCUCUCCUCUCCCCAUGAUGCUGGGGCUGGGGGGAUCUGUCAUCGCUCUCCCUCCCCCUCCAGUUUCCCUUUGCAAGGCACAGCUGCCCCAGGACCUGAUAGUGGGAACAGAUGCCUGGCCGUGACUCAGGCUCCACUCACCACCUCAGUGUGUGUGGGGGACCCGGCCACUGUGAGUUGUCCACAGCCUGGCACGUGCAGGUGGCCCUGCCCUCCAGAGGCUGGUUUCUUUCUCCCGAGCCUGGUUGGGCCCCAGAGUCUGAGGUCGGGGAAGGGGUGAGGGGUUUCCAGAAGGAAUGCUGGUGUCCACAGAGGCCCGGGCCUCUGGAUGAGUCUGUGGGGGUCCUUCAGCACUGACACCUGAUGCCCAGGCAGGAGAAGGCUGAGGGGGAGAUGAGACACCAGCACCCCCCUGCGAUCCCUGGCAUCACACCCUUGGCUGGUGCACAUUCCUGUGUGGUGCUAAGCUCGGCCAUCCCCCAGGCUGGAGUAUUGCAACCUCUCGGCUGCCAGCUGCGAGCCCCUGGCCUCCGUGCUUAGGGCCAAGCCAGACUUCAAGGAGCUCACGGUUAGCAACAACGACAUCAAUGAGGCUGGCGUCCGCGUGCUGUGCCAGGGCCUGAAGGACUCCCCCUGCCAGCUGGAGGCGCUCAAGUAGGCACUGGGCCUUGGGGGGGUGUGCGAUGUGGGCUGGGGGGGUCCUGUGCUGCCUCACGCGUGACCUGUGUCCCCAGGCUGGAGAGCUGCGGUGUGACGUCAGACAACUGCCGGGACCUGUGCAGCAUCGUGGCCUCCAAGGCCUCGCUGCGGGAGCUGGCCCUGGGCAGCAACAAGCUGGGCGAUGUGGGCAUCGCGGAGCUGUGCCCAGGGCUGCUCCACCCCAGCUCCAGGCUCAGGACCCUGUGGAUCUGGGAGUGUGGCAUCACUGCCAAGGGCUGCGGGGAUCUGUGCCGUGUCCUCAGGGCCAAGGAGAGCCUGAAGGAGCUCAGCCUGGCCGGCAACGAGCUGGGGGACGAGGGUGCCCGACUGCUGUGUGAGACCCUGCUGGAGCCCUGCUGCCAGCUGGAGUCGCUGUGGGUGAAGUCCUGCAGCUUCACAGCCGCCUGCUGCUCCCACUUCAGCUCGGUGCUGGCCCAGAAUAAGUUUCUCCUGGAACUACAGAUAAGCAACAACAGGCUGGAGGAUGCGGGCGUGCGGGAGCUCUGCCAGGGCCUGGGCCAGCCCGGCUCUGUGCUGCGGGUGCUCUGGCUGGCCGACUGCGAUGUGAGUGACAGCAGCUGCAGCAGCCUCGCCGCGACCCUGUUGGCCAACCAUAGCCUGCGCGAGCUGGACCUCAGCAACAACUGCCUGGGGGACGCGGGCGUCCUGCAGCUGGUGGAGAGCGUCCGGCAGCCGGGCUGCCUCCUGGAGCAGCUGGUCCUGUACGACAUUUACUGGUCUGAGGAGAUGGAGGACCGGCUGCAGGCCCUGGAGGAGGACAAGCCAUCCCUGAGGGUCAUCUCCUGAGGCGCUUCCUGCCGCUGCUCUCCCUGGACGACCGGCCUUGAGGCACCCCUGGGGCCCACCAGCCCCUGCCAUGCUCUCAUCCUGCAUAUCCUAGGUUUGAAGACAAAUGCUCAGAUCCGCUUAUUUCUGCCAGUAUAUUUUGGACACUUUAUAAUCAUUAAAGCACUUUCUUGGC